AUGACGAUCCUUUGCUGGAACUGUCGGGGUUUGGGCCACCCUGGUACAGUUCGAGAACUUGUGUGCCUAGUGCGCACAUAUCGCCCCACUGUCGUGUUCAUCUCUGAGACGCGACAGUGCGAAGAGAGCGUGAAAAGAAUAACAGAAAGAAUAGGCCUCAAACAUUGUAUCACCCACGAUGGGGUGGGCAAAGGUGCCGGCAUCGCCCUAUUUUGGGACGAUAGCGUUGAAAUAAAUUUGCUCUCUUAUGGACCGCGUUACAUUGAUGUUCAUAUCCGGUAUGAUCGGAGCAGCCCCUUGUGGAGGGGUACUUUUGUAUACGGCGAACCAAAAGCACAUGAGAGGCAUCAUAUGUGGAGUUUACUCAAAAGAAUCAAGAAGAGAUCAAGUGAACCGUGGAUGAUGGUGGGUGAUUUUAAUGAAACAAUGUGGCAAGGGGAGCACUUCUUGGCCGUAAAAAGGUCUGAACGUAACAUGGGUAAUUUCAGAGAAUGCUUGGGGUGGUGUGGACUGUACGAUCUUGGGUAUAAAGGACCGGAGUGGACCUACGAUAAUAAGCAGAGGGGGAGGAAUAAUGUGAGAGCAAGGUUAGACAGAGGGGUAGCUUCAACUGACUGGAAUGAUUUGUUCCCACAAGCACAGAUCCAACAUGUGGUGACCUCGAGAUCACUCCAGGGAACUUCCCCCUGGUUUUAUCGUUGGGUGGUAAUCAGCAAGGGCGCAAAAAUAAGUAUUUCAAGUAUGAGAUGA
This 750-nucleotide ribosomal RNA is filed under the name Triticum aestivum (bread wheat). RNAcentral's name for it is "partial small subunit ribosomal RNA". The record is from RNAcentral. Lineage: Eukaryota; Viridiplantae; Streptophyta; Magnoliopsida; Poales; Poaceae.